UGGGGGAUAUUGCACAAUGGGCGAAAGCCUGAUGCAGCGACGCCGCGUGGGGGAUGAAGGCCUUCGGGUUGUAAACUUCUUUUGCUCUGAACAAGGCAUGCUAAUGGGUGUGUUGAGUGUAGGGGUUGAUUAGCGCCGGCUAACUACGUGCCAGCAGCCGCGGUAAUACGUAGGGCGCGAGCGUUGUCCGGAAUUAUUGGGCGUAAAGGGCUUGUAGGUGGCUGGUUGCGUCUGUCGUGAAAGCUCAUGGCUUAACUGUGGGGUUGAGGUGGGUAGGAGCUGGCUUAAGUGCAGUAGGGGAGGGUGGGAUUCCUGGUGUAGCGGUGGGAUGCGCAGAUAUAAGGAGGAAUACCGGUGGCGAAGGAGGGUCUCUGGGCUGUUACUGACACUGAGGAGCGAAAGCAUGGGGGGCGAGCAGG
This 419-nucleotide ribosomal RNA is filed under the name bacterium. Its description in RNAcentral is "partial 16S ribosomal RNA". It matches the Rfam family "Bacterial small subunit ribosomal RNA", at positions 355 to 776 of the family's 1533-position model. The record is from RNAcentral.